RNAcentral lists this ribosomal RNA (250 nucleotides) under uncultured bacterium. RNAcentral describes it as "partial 16S ribosomal RNA". It matches the Rfam family "Bacterial small subunit ribosomal RNA", at positions 524 to 773 of the family's 1533-position model. The record is from RNAcentral.
UACAGAGGUGGCAAGCGUUGUUCGGAUUUACUGGGCGUAAAGGGUGCGUAGGUGGUCUUGUGUGUCGGGCGUGAAAGCCCACUGCUCAACGGUGGAAUGCCGUCCGAAACUAUAAGACUAGAGUACAGGAGAGGAGAGCGGAAUUCUUGGUGUAGCGGUGGAAUGCGUUGAUAUCAAGAAGAACACCAGUGGCGUAGGCGGCUCUCUGGAAUGUUACUGACACUGAGGCACGAAAGUUGGGGGAGCAAAC